GUCGGUGACACGGGGUGCCCGGGAGAAGGCCCGGGCUGAGAUGAGACCCGUCGAACCUGAUCGAGUUCACACUCGCGGAGGAAUUGUCAUGGCAGACUCUG
RNAcentral lists this non-coding RNA (101 nucleotides) under Corynebacterium variabile. RNAcentral describes it as "TPP sequence". It matches the Rfam family "TPP riboswitch aptamer (THI element)". Rfam says of the family: Vitamin B(1) in its active form thiamin pyrophosphate (TPP) is an essential coenzyme that is synthesised by coupling of pyrimidine and thiazole moieties in bacteria. The previously detected thiamin-regulatory element, thi box was extended, resulting in a new, highly conserved RNA secondary structure, the THI element, which is widely distributed in eubacteria and also occurs in some archaea. Lineage: Bacteria; Bacillati; Actinomycetota; Actinomycetes; Mycobacteriales; Corynebacteriaceae. The record is from RNAcentral.